CGAGCCCCGCCUCGCGCCCUCCGGAAGGCGGGUUAGGGACGCCCGGGGCUCAGCUUAGGGAGGCGGGCGCCGCGCCACGAGGAGGCUGCCCUGAUGCCUGGUGCAAGUGCUCCUUGGCGGGGCGGCCCGCGACUCCCACCUUGGACCGUUCACUGCCUGAGGGGCCUGGGGUGGCAGUCAGAAGACUAACGACCACCAGUCACCGAGAGCUCAGUUCGUGCCAAACCCUGCUCGCGCUCUCCCCGACUUAUUGUUCACAACGACCCUACAGGUCAUUCUCCUUCCCACUGGGAACCGGGGAUCAGAGGGAAGUCAUGGCCCGAGUGCCCCGGUCACACCUCCGUGAGCGGCCUCGGGCUCGCGGUUGAGGCUGAUUGAGGAAGUGGGUUCAGGCGGCCCGCCGUGCCUGGGACACGGUCAGAGUCCCAUCAUGAACUCCUUGUGGUCAGAAACUUCGUGUAUCUCUUUCUCCAGAACCUAACACAGUGCCUGAGAGGAGUUUAUUUUUUGCCAUGUGUUGCUAUGCUAGCUUUUCCCUCUUCUAUUUUACGCAGGCUGACUCUUUGAGAGACUUCCACGGCUGGAGAGCUGGCCAAAUGCACGCAGGCCACAGCUGGAGGCCCGUAAAUGGAUUUUUACAACUAAAGCCUCAUGCCAGUAAGGGUAAAGGUGAAUUCUGAGUCCUGAGCUCACAUUUUAAGAGGAUCCUGUGAUGCACCAGGUGCAAAGUAAGCAGGUUUCAAACUGAGUUAGGGGAGGUGCCUUCCUUCUUGAAUUUUGUCUAUUCACAUGCAAGUUUUGAAUGGUCUCAUCCCAGCCCAACAUGAAAUUCCAAGCAGAAUACCAACAGGAAUGGAAAGGACAGAAAUAAGACGUGUUACAAAGGAAAAGCAAAAUGGUCCUUGGUGACUGACUGUCGUAGUCAGAGAGGGAGGGACUGUGGAUGGCCCACAGGGGUUUAGUAUGGAUGAUACUGAAUGACGGGUUUGGGAAACUUGGACACUAGUGUGAUGUUGACGGA
Long non-coding RNA from Symphalangus syndactylus (siamang), 1021 nucleotides. RefSeq lists it as uncharacterized. Lineage: Eukaryota; Metazoa; Chordata; Mammalia; Primates; Hylobatidae. The record is from RefSeq and is a predicted model, not a curated record.